CAGGCCUAACACAUGCAAGUCGAGCGAUGAGGCUCCCUUCGGGGAGUACAUCAGCGGCGGAUGGGUGAGUAACACGUGGGUGACCUGCCCCGAAGACGGGGAUAACUUCUGGAAACAGAAGCUAAUACCCGAUGCACUCGGUAGUUCGGUCUACUGAGUAAAGCUCCGGCGCUUCGGGAUGGGCCUGCGUCCCAUCAGCUAGUUGGUAGGGUAACGGCCUACCAAGGCGAAGACGGGUAGGGGACCUGAGAGGGUGGCCCCCCACAAUGGAACUGAAACACGGUCCAUACACCUACGGGUGGCAGCAGUAGGGAAUAUUGGUAAUCUGCGAAAGCGGGAACCAGCAACGCCGCGUGUGCGAAGAAGGCCUUCGGGUUGUAAAGCACUUUUUGGGAGGAAGAGGAAGGACUGUACUCCCAGAAUAAGUCUCGGCUAACUACGUGCCAGCAGCCGCGGUAAUACGUAUGAGGCUAACGUUAUCCGGAUUUACUGGGCGUAAAGCGCGUGCAAGCGGUUUGAUAAGUUGGGCGUGAAAGCUCCCGGCUCAACUGGGAGAGGUCGCUCUAUACUG
Molecule: ribosomal RNA, 571 nt
Filed under: uncultured bacterium
Lineage: Bacteria
Description: bacterial SSU rRNA
Rfam family: Bacterial small subunit ribosomal RNA
Source: RNAcentral